RNAcentral lists this long non-coding RNA (7957 nucleotides) under Triticum aestivum (bread wheat). RNAcentral's name for it is "long non-coding RNA (TAES_LNC009140)". Lineage: Eukaryota; Viridiplantae; Streptophyta; Magnoliopsida; Poales; Poaceae. The record is from RNAcentral.
GGAGCGACGAUGAUGAUGGUGAUGACGAUGAUGAUGAUGGUGAAGAUGGCGAGGAUGACGACGAUGAUGAUGAGGACGAGGAUGAGGAGGACGAGGAAGAUGAGGACCAGCCGCCGGCCAAGAAGAAGAAAUGAUCUGCCUUCCUGCUGUCAGUGUUUCAGUCCGUUAGUUUGUCUGCUGUCUAGAUGAUGAUUGAGCGGGUCUGGUACACACCGACCUAUGUAGCUUCUGUGUCGUGGUGGUUUGGUGUCUCAUAGGGUAGAACAUUGAACUUCUAAUGUUGUUUCCUGCGUUGUGCAAGUAGUCUUAACAUUUCGGUGUUGAUGUGCUGUGUUUAUUGGAGCUGUGAUACCAUUCAAUCUAAUUCUUGUUACUCCAUGUUGUCACAUGUGCUUUGAAUGGCUUUUGGGUUCAACUUGUAUGAAAUCCAAUUUCUUUAUGCUUCUUGUGAGUGAAUAAUCAGAGUUUGUAUGACUGCUAUCUGAAUGUUUGGAUUUGGAUAACCUGGAAGGAAAAGGCGCGUCAAUCUAACAGAAGAACCGAAGAAGCAUUUGAGACAUUCCGUUCUCGCGAUCUCAGUGUUUCAGGAUGGGACAACAGAGCUCCCAGCAAUGGAAAACAGUGACAGGCACUUCCAUUCCAAAAUUGUGCCAGAACAUAACUAAACAUACGUGCACCGCAGAAAAGGCCUAUACAACAUACAGAGAUCUCUACCGUAUAUGGACGCCCAUGCGGCAUGUACAUACACUGUCUACUUGUUCCUACCAGUCUAUCCAGUGCCCAGGAGCUCACACAAAUUUGCUGGGCAGGGUGAGCUAAACUCCCAACGGAUUUUCCUUCUGAAUGGCCCUUUGACUACUGAUUACUCUCUCUUAACGACUCUGAUGCCAACUUGUUGAAAUCCUGGGGCUCGCUGCUGGCAAAUGUCAACCAGACGGCAGUGCCCGUUAAGUAGAAGAAGAUCGAAGGAGCAAAGAGCGACAUCUGCACAUAUACAAAAGACGAUAAUGAGUUGUUAGAAUGAUACGUGAUAGAAAAUACAGGUCAAGGAGAUGGAUCAGAUUUGUGGUGUUGGCAAGCAUACACUCCAAGAAUGAGUUGUGUCGACAAGAUAGCCGACUAGCGCGACACCAACGAUUCCAGGCACGGCCCCUACGGUGUUUGUGAUUCCCUGGAAUGCAAAGGCAGUGAGUCAACAAAUACCAAUAGAAGAAAUCGCCUUUUUCUUUUGCCAACUCUGCUUCCCCUUUCCACCGUUUGAAUUAUACAGACUCGUUAGAGAUUGGCACUGAAACUACCAAAAGUGAAAACUCUAGGAUGCGUUUAGACAAGGGAUAUUCCUCUGGAAAUGUUUAGCAUUUAUCAGCAUCAGAUAAAUCUGAAGGGUUUUGAUUCCGAAUCCCUGUCCAGGGUUUGAUAUAGUAACACAAUUACAACCAACUAUCUGGUCCAAACAAAGGGGGAAAGAGAGCAAGGAAUUUUGUUUUCUUUUUACCAUCCCAUUUUUACAAGACAAACGCAGAAAAAUCCUGAAGAGUUUUAAUACCAAAUAUAAGUUGCAUGCCUUACCAGGAGAAUGCUUGCAUAUUCACGUGAUAUAUCUUGAUGGGUGCAAUAAAGACCUGUUUGUAAGCAAAAACAUUAAGAUUUUGGACCUUGGAAACAUGGCAGGAAAAAGAAUGGAUGCAAGCUUAGCACAAUUACCUGAUAAUGCGAAGUUGGAGAGUGAUAUACCACCCGUAAGGAAAGCAACAACUACCCAGGGAGGGAGUCCAAGAUCGACAGAGGAAAGCAUCAUAAAAGCUGCAGGUGACAGAAACGCAAUUGCUUGACAUAUUUUCCGUACCUACAAAAGAAAUUAAUCAACUUAGACUCAACUUUUUCAUUAUCCUGUAAAAAGGCCUUAUUUACACAAGAAAACUGGACAUCUCAUGGCAAUUUGCAGUGAUGAUUUUUAAACAUUCCAACCUUUACAAAUGAACUCUAGGAGCAUCCAUAUAGGAACCUAAUAAAGGGGGCCAACUAAAAUCAGAGCAAGCAGAUUUUUAUUUAUUCCUUUUUCAUCUUCAAGGCAAUGAUUUACCUUUGUGGUGUCAACUCCACUUGAUAUCAAGUUGUCUGCAAAAGGUGCUGCAAUAGAUGUAAUAACCAUCGAGCCCAAAGGAGGAAGAAUUGACACCUACAACAAAUACCAAAUAUGGGACUUCAUAAGACAUGAGACUGGAGCAGUAGUCGUAAAUGAAAAACAAGGACACGACAUGAUCACAUAGUAAGAACGAGGAGGGAUAUGAGGCUUUCACUACAAGGGUGUUCCUGUAAUUAUAAGAAAUGAAAGCAUGUACAUACCCAUGCAGCGUCUGUCAAGUUCAAGUUUAGCUCCUCACUGCAUAAGAAUUGAACAGGAAUAUAUCACAAAAAAGCAAGGACGUUGUUACAAAUAUUUAACAUAAUGUGCUGAACAGCAGAAAGAAGAUUGGAUUCCUCCAAACAUUUUGCUGGACUUCUAAAGCAUCAUUAAAUUGACGUAUCACAACAAAUGCAACUAUGAUAUGAAAGCAGCUAUGCAAUACAGCGACCCGUGAAUCUAUAAUGUCCAGUCUCAACUUGAGCACAAGUUUCAGAAAAUUUAUGUGUAAAAAUCUCCUGUUUUAUUUGGUUCUAUCUUUGUUGAAGUCAAUCCACUUUCAGAAAACUGAACUGAACGAGUAGGAAAAGUGUGCACAUGCAAGAAAGUUGUUCAUAUAGGGUGUUAACACACUGAAAAGUUAGUGAACGAAAUCCUAGCAAUUUGAUCUCAAUAGUAGCACCAAAAUGUUGAAUAGUAAAAGAAAUAGGUGUGUCCAACUCACUAGGGACAGUUCAUGAAAAUAAGACAGUUGGUUAAUCGAAAGGGGAUACACUGAGUGAAAAAUGACAACACAAAUAUGCAAAGUGCCAAACCUAAAGAAUGUUGGAAGCCAAGACAAGCAAGUAUAGUGGCCCCAGCUUCCACAAAAGUGAGUGUAUAUCAUUGCCCACACUGCCUUGCUUUUAAAGAAUUCCCCCCAGGGCACAUCCUACAACACAAAGGAUAAAACUUGCUAUAUCAGUAAUGUUUGUGAAUCAAGCACCUACACUAUUUAAUACAUAAUAAUGCAUCACUCCCACCAACAGGGUCACCUUAUUUUAUUGGGAGUUAUAAAUUACAUCUACAGCUAAGUGAAAUAGGUCACAGCACUCGUGCUGAACUGUUGCUUGAUGGGGGAAAGCCCAACAUGUACUAUAUACAACUUCCAAACAGGGAAAGGCUCAGUGGUAUGCCUUUAAUGUCAUGCAAGUUAACAAAAGCAUAGUUAUGUGCUGUAGUUAGACCAAGAUGGCCAUGUGAUACAGGUGAAAAAUUCCUUAUCUGGAAGGCACAGUUUUCGUUGGUUUGUUGGCUCAUCGUUAUUACAAAAUGAUGUCUUCCAAGUACAGUGAGCAUCUUUCUGCAACCCCACUGAAGUCUAUAGCAGCAUUUAUAUUUGGCAGUCUCACCACACAGCAGCAACAGACUAGCAGAACAGUCUAUUGGCUAUUCUGGGCAUAUAGUAAACAAAACUAAGAAUGGCAUGUAAACAAAGAGAUUAAAAUAAAUUUUCAUUUGAGCAAAUUAAAUUGCAGAAGCUAGCACAAAAUCUACACCAAUGAUAGUUUCGAUUAUAUUGCACAUACUAACUACUUGAGAGGAUUCUCGAGUCUUCACACUUUUACAACAGCAAACAGUUCAGACAAAUUCACAAUUUGAAACACUCUAGCAACCAACAUAUUUCUUGCAAAUGAACUGAAAAGUUUCUCAGAUCAUUUGAUGUAGUUUGGUGUAUCCCACGAACUAAAAAGGCUACCACAUUAGUUGAUGUAUCUUGAUUCUGGAACUUUUUCAUCGAUCUCACAACUUUGUAACACUUUUAACUUGAUUCAUGUCUUCUAUGUUCUAACAAAGAGGUUAAGUGACAUGCCAAUAGCUACUUUUCAACUGGUGGAAAAAACUCUGUAGUGAAUCUGUCAGCUCUCAAACCUUUAGUGAGUCUGUCAUCUCUUCAAGUGAUGAGUCCGAUGACUUUGAAGGCACAGAUGAUGAGAUAUGACCAUUAGAUCCAGCAGAAGUAUUUUCAAGAUCUGUAAAGUAGAUGAUAUUUUCAGGUAUUAUAGUUGAAAUUUUGUACUUAUUGCGCAGAAAUAGUAAGAUCGUAAUGAACAAAUAUUUUUAGCAAACAGGUACAGCUAAGCUCAUAGAAUACUUAAUACUAAACAUAUUGAAUGCUAUUUUGUAAUAGUAUCAAUAAAUCUAGUGCAAACCACACUCAAAACAUAAUCAUGCAACCAUAUUGGUUAGUACAUCAAAUCAAUUUGGAACUACCAAAUUUGAGGUAGUCCUCAAUGUAUCUGCUGCACAACUGAAAUUUCUCAUAUUUAAAACUGAUUAGUGUUAGAUUGAAAGGAUGAUUUUCUGACAUAAAUCCAUGUCAGCAUCACAUUGAUCUCCCUUUUCUCUCUUCCAGUUUAACAGCUGCUUAAUAGACUACAUGGGUGACGCUUUGCUUCUCUCUUUUUUGGGGGGAAUUUUUCAAGUUACCUUGAUGCUCAAACAGUCAGAAGCGCACAUAUAGGAUUUGCCACGAUACGUAAACUUGGGUCAGGCAUGGCACUUAUGUUAGAUCAAACUUGACAUAGAGGUUAUGAAGACCAGAUUGUACAAUCAUGAUCACAAGAUCAAACCAAACCAACAACCUGGCUAUACAAGGUUGCCAAAUAUUCUACAGUUCAUAUACGAUCACACAAACCAAGAUGGUUUGGGUAAUUGCAUCAAGCUAUGAUUUUUCACUAGAUAUGUCAUAUCUGCUUAUGAAAAAAAACACAAUGAUAUCAUUAAGGCCACAAUAUGAUUCCUUCAGCUAAACUAGCAUGCCACAAUUCAUUUUCUUCUAUAAACACAUACAAACGGAGUAUAUUGAAAAAGAGAUAUGAUUAGAAGUAACAUUCAUUGCAAGUUUCAAUGGACAGUUUCUAUCAUGGUUGUUAAGACUUGUAAAAAUAGAUGUGCACUUACUUAAUAUGUCUUCAUUGUCACCUGGCUGUAGUUCUUGUACAGAUUCAAAUACUAGACACCUGUGGAAAUGAAAGAAGAUGAAGCUAAACCAGAAGAAAUAUUCAAUUAUGUGCUGCUAAGAAUUUUUUUGCUUACCAUAUAAUUCCAAGAAGACCAAAUAUGUAAAAGACAGAUUCCCAGCCAAGGUUCUGAAUGAUGGGAGGGGCGAACAGAAGUCUGUAAUAUUAUCAUAGACCAGGAGUUAACUAUCUCGUACCAUUGUCAAUUAAGUUAUGUAACAUAAUGUCAUACAGUCAAAAUGCAAUGCAAUGUUGUUUUAGAACCAAGCAAAAAGUUACAUCAGGUUACAAAGGUCUGAUAAUCUAUCAGGAUUUCUGUAAAGAUGAAAGUUUCUGCUUAGACCCCAAAACUUUUACGUGCAUCUGAAUAUAUCUAGAAAAUACUGCAAAACACUUACCCUAAGACACUUCCAAAGGCUAAACCACCAAAAACAACAGAAACCGCUCUUGAUCUUUCUUGAAGAGGAAUGGUCCUGCAUGUGCAGCCAUAGCAGUUAAACAUGCAAUAAUAAUGUAUGAGAAUGAUGCUUCUCAAGUUUAAUAUGUUUAUUCUAUAUUCUUCCAGAGAGCAGCAAUAAUUCUACUGCCCUCUAUCAUGUUCAAUAGAAUUAAGAUCUCAGCAGGGAGAUGAAGGUAGUUUUCUAUUGGAUUUCCUUUAAGCAUAGAACAAGUAAUACAUAGUUCUUUUUUCUUUCAUAAACGUGUCAACAGAGACGCUACAUCAUAUCCACAGUUCCACACCAAUGGCAACUGAACCAUUGAGAAAGUUAUGCAAUAUAAUCGUCAUAAAAAAUCCAGAAUAAGACGUACAUCAAUCUUUUGUGUAUUUCAAUAAAAGAACGUGAAUAGCUGCCACCUGCGAUUUAGCGCAGGUAGCUAAAAAAGAAUCCAUCUAAACAUUAAAUAUCCACAAAAACAAUGCCAAUACACUAGUUAGCUAGCGAAGAGUGUGUAGUCACAAGAUUCACCAUCAUCGAUACAGGGUAUUUCUAAUAAAUAUCUCUACAACUACAUGAGAACCCUGAAAUUCCUCCUUAAAAUUUUAGGAAGCAGCCUGAAAUUCACAUGAAGGAGAUGUAAAUGGUAGCCUGCGUCCGAGGAGAAGGUAUUUUAGGCUUACCGUGCAAUUAAAUCUGUAGCUGCUGAUGGUGAGACUCCUUCUCCAAUGCCUACCUAGCAUACCAACAAAGUUAAAAUGAAUAAAUACAAGGAUAAUAUUUAAAUAGUAAAUUAUUACUAGGAACACUCCCCGUACGGACAUUUAGAUGUGAUAAAGAAACUAGGUAUUGUCAUCGCAUGGGAAUGCUCCAAAAACCAAAGUUGACAUGCAGGUAUUGCAAUAAUGCAUGGGGUGCUUCAUAUGGUAAGGUGGAGGGACACUUAUUUGCACCAAAACACAUUUUUAUACAUAAAUAUGAUACACCUGCCACCUGGAAAUGUGCAUAUGAAAUAAUAUAGCAAUCAUCAUCUUAACAAAAUGUUUUUAUAGGUAACCCAAUCUAUGCUAAUUUAUGCUAAGAAUACACAGAAACGUUAACCCAAAUAAUAACAGCCAUCACUCUCGGAUGAAAGUAUGCUUUGUAAGGGUAUGUGUUCCUAAUACAAAAAUGAAACCAAUUGUACAAAACAUGGUAAAAAAAAGCACAAAAGAAGUUAAGUGUACCGGAUCAUAUGUGAACAAGAAGUUUCUAGAGGCUAACUAAUGAGUAGAGGUAUACCAGAAUCCUUGAUAACACAAGUCCUGGCAUGAAUCCAGCUACAACAGGAAUAACAGCUGUGGCCAAAGACCACACAAGAACACCGGCCUUAAGCACUGUCCUGCAAUUAGCAUAUGAGAAAAACAAUUAUUGCAAUAUGAAAAUGAAUAAUAUGCAUUAUAUGAGAAAUAUAAGAUGAGAAAAAGCAUAUGAUCAAAUUAUAAGAGAUGGCCUUUGAGUUAUGCAAGAAGCGCCUGCUAAACAAGUUACAUGCUUGUUUCUUAAUUCAUCUAUUGUUGGUUUACGCCUUUGAAUUUUUGUGGCUAAGAAUUUAACAGAGUCAAGCUAGACUGAUAACAUAAAAAUAUGCAACCGGAAAAGAGGCAAAAUAACAUUAUAAAGCCAGGUAGAACUCACAAACCAUAUUAUACUCCCUCCUAUCCAUAAUAAGUGUCGCAGGUUUGAACUAAGAUUGAACUAACCUUAGUUCAAAACCGCGACACUUAUUUUGAAUUGGAGGGAGUAGCAUUUAGCACAUCAUACUUCUCUUUUACAUUUUUCCUUACCUACUACACUUAGUCUAAAGAUUCUUCCGAUGGAAGAAACAACUGUCAUCAUGACAUUUAACUUUUAUUUGGGACAAUGCCAUAUUAGAGUCAACAGCAGUCAAUAACUAUACCUAUGAUGCAAAAAAAAUCUUUGUAUAUGCAAAAUCAAAGAUAACUUUGUAUUUGUAUUUAUAAAAUGUACAGGAGGCUUUUUGUUACCCCAAACAAACCUUCCACCAAUCAAUUUUGCCAGCCAGCCCCCAGGUAGUUGACUCAAAGCAUAGCCCCAAAAGAAUGAUGAUUGAACUAGGCCAGCAGUCGAUGAGCUCCAACCAUACUGAUGUGACAUUGGAAUAAUCGCAACACUCAAGUUAACCUGAAAAGUAAGAGUAGUUGCAUUUAGCAGAAAUUGCUGAGGAAACAAAAACCUAGAUAAGCUACACAUAGAAGUAAUUAGCUACGCUAAGCGAAGAAGCGCAUAUCAAGACCGCAUUAACAACCUUGAGCAAGUUAGAUGUUUUGCCAGUGAGACAAUUAAUGGUGCAGAAACACUUUGGUCGACAUCGACAGCGACAAAAAAAAAAC